AUUGAACGCUGGCGGCAUGCCUUACACAUGCAAGUCGAACGGUAACAGGUCUUCGGAUGCUGACGAGUGGCGAACGGGUGAGUAAUACAUCGGAACGUGCCUAGUAGUGGGGGAUAACUACUCGAAAGAGUGGCUAAUACCGCAUGAGAUCUACGGAUGAAAGCAGGGGAUCGCAAGACCUUGUGCUACUAGAGCGGCCGAUGGCAGAUUAGGUAGUUGGUGGGAUAAAAGCUUACCAAGCCGACGAUCUGUAGCUGGUCUGAGAGGACGAUCAGGCACACUGGGACUGAGACACGGCCCAGACUCCUACGGUUGGCAGCAGUGGGGAAUUUUGGACAAUGGGCGAAAGCCUGAUCCUGCAAUGCCGCGUGCAGGAUGAAGGCCUUCGGGUUGUAAACUGCUUUUGUACGGAACGAAAAGCCCCGGGUUAAUACCCUGGGGUCAUGACGGUACCGUAAGAAUAAGCACCGGCUAACUACGUGCCAGCAGCCGCCGCGG
This 498-nucleotide ribosomal RNA is filed under the name uncultured bacterium. RNAcentral's name for it is "partial 16S ribosomal RNA". It matches the Rfam family "Bacterial small subunit ribosomal RNA", at positions 30 to 523 of the family's 1533-position model. The record is from RNAcentral.